AUUGAACGCUGGCGGCAGGCCUAACACAUGCAAGUCGAGCGGAUGAAGGGAGCUUGCUCCUGGAUUCAGCGGCGGACGGGUGAGUAAUGCCUAGGAAUCUGCCUGGUAGGGGGGGAUAACGUCCGGAAACGGGCGCUAAUACCGCAUACGUCCUGAGGGAGAAAGUGGGUGAUCUUCGGACCUCACGCUAUCAGAUGAACGUAGGUCGGAUUAGUUAGUUGGUGGGGUAAAGGCCGACUAAGGCGACGAUCCGUAACUGGUCUGAGAGGCUGAUCAGUCACCCUGGAACUGAGACACGGUCCAGGCUACUACGGGAGGCAGCAGUGGGGAAUAUUGGACAAUGGGCGAAAGCCUGAUCCAGCCAUGCCGCGUGUGUGAAGAAGGUCUUCGGAUUGUAAAGAACUUUAAGUUGGGAGGAAGGGCAGUAAGUUAAUACCUUGCUGUUUUGACGUUACCAACAGAAUAAGCACCGGCUAACUUCGUG
Molecule: ribosomal RNA, 484 nt
Filed under: uncultured bacterium
Lineage: Bacteria
Description: partial 16S ribosomal RNA
Rfam family: Bacterial small subunit ribosomal RNA
Source: RNAcentral